AUCAUUUCCCCGUCACAAUGUAGAGGUUAGAGAGAGAAGCUCAAACUCUCACUAGAGUUUUCCUUGUGCAUUUGUGAGCUCAUAGAUUCUUGUUCGAUUUCACCUUUACUCCUUGGUAAUUUCGAAUAUAAUAUUGUAGAUUUUGUUAAAAUCUGUCCAAAUUCAAGUGUUAGCUUCAAAGAUCAAUUUUCUUGAAGCAUUAUAGACCAGUCUGUUCAAAAACUAGAGGCAGGUUCAAGGCCUGUUGGCCAGCUGCUUGUUUUGAUUCUUUAAAAGCUACCUGCUUCAUUAAACUCCAGGCAGCCACCUCACCAGCAGCCUGCUUGUUUUAAUGCCAGGUAACAUCUCAAUCUUUUGUGCCAGUGGCUUGUCUGAAGGCCAGGCAGCACUUAAGUCCUGUCCAAAUUCAAAAGGUAAGCUAUGAAGUUUUCGAGCUUCUUGUAGUCUUGAAGUUGGUGAAAAUUUCGAAGUGUAGGUUUAUGCAUCCAGUUUCUUUUGUGUUUGAAGCUUUAAUGGCUGAGUCCAGCUUCUUGGCAAAGUUGAUUUUCCUUGAAGGUAAGUUCGGCCAGUUAUGUGCUGUCCCAGAUGGUAAAUUAAAACGGUGGCAGCAGUAAUGCAGCAAUGUUGACCGUUUUUAAGCAGUAUUUUAUUUGCCCAUAUUGGCAAAAAAUUUCAGAAAUUGGUGCUGUUCAAGCCAGUUCAGUCCAUUAAUGUCUGGAAAUUAUGUUCUUAAAGAUCCAGGUCAGUUUAUUAGCAGAUGUUCUUCCGGCCAGCAGGGUGCUUGUUUGGGUAUCUUUCAAGAUUUAAAACCUAGUUGAAGGUUUGGAACCUGGUCAGCAGCCAGCCUGUCCAAAGUUUUUUGUUCGUAAAGGUGAAGCUACUGGCCACUCAAAGUUGUUUCUUGUUCACUAGUAGCCUGCUUGGUAUUAAAACCUGCCCAGCAGAUUGAUGCAAGUUCGCUCAAUUUCUUGGUACAUCUCUUUAAUGUUGUUCGAUUUUAGACUGCUGUAUCGAAUAUGUUAAAAUUUAGUUGAAUUCAGGGUAUUGAUCAGUUUGUCACAGUUCUAGGUUGUUGGCAGAUUUCUUCACUCUUUGUUUGAAUAUUUUCCUGGCCUCGGUCGAAGUUCAAAUCCAGCUUAACUCCUUGAAACCUGACCAACAGCUUUUGUGCUUUUUUCAUCCAGUUUCCUUGACUGUUUCGACCUUGUUUGAGAAUCACUGAAUCAGGUGAGUUUGGUCAGAUUUGCUUCAGCUUCGUUCUUGUUGGCAGAUUUCUAGUUUUCUAAUUCCUCUCACCCCCCAAUUGAAAAUUUUGAAUCUUCCAGCCGACCUUGCAAUGGUACAACACUUUUUUUCCCCCUUUCUUUUUACAAACACUACCAUGUCUU
RNAcentral lists this long non-coding RNA (1388 nucleotides) under Olea europaea subsp. europaea. Lineage: Eukaryota; Viridiplantae; Streptophyta; Magnoliopsida; Lamiales; Oleaceae. The record is from RNAcentral.